Molecule: non-coding RNA, 847 nt
Filed under: Pseudoacontias menamainty
Lineage: Eukaryota; Metazoa; Chordata; Lepidosauria; Squamata; Scincidae
Description: partial 12S ribosomal RNA
Rfam family: Bacterial small subunit ribosomal RNA
Source: RNAcentral
AAAAGUUUUGGUCCUAAACUUGCCAUUGUUUUUAACCAAGAUUACACAUGCAAGCCUCAACGAACCGGUGAGAAUGCCCAUAAACCCCUAAACAGUCAGCCGGAGCGGGUAUCAGGAUCAACUCUACCAUUUAGCCUACAACACCUUGCCACGCCACACCUACACGGGCCACCAGCAGUGAUUAACAUUAAGCCAUUAGCGAAAGCUUGACUUAACUAUGGUUAACAUGGUCGGUAAAUUUCGUGCCAGCCGCCGCGGUUAUACGAAAGACUUAAGACAAUGCCCCCGGCGUAAAGCGUGAUAAGAGAGACAAUUACUAACAUUAAAGGCAAACUACCACAAAGCCGUAAAACGCCAACAAGGAAAGGAAGCCCAACCAAGAACAGCCUUUAAACAACGAAUUACUUUACUCACGAAAACUACGAAACAAACUGGGAUUAGAUACCCCACUAUGCUUAGCCCUAAACAUAGACAAUACACACACAAUAUUGUCCGCCAGAGAACUACAAGCGAAAAGCUCGAAACUCCAAGGACUUGGCGGUGCUCCACACCAACCUAGGGGAGCCUGUCCUAUAAUCGAUACCCCACGUUAAACCCUACCACCCUUUGCCAGUCAGCCUAUAUACCGCCGUCGUCAGCCUACCUUCUGAAAGAAAAAAAGUAGGCAAAAUAGUUAACAACUAGAACGUCAGGUCAAGGUGUAGCAUAUAAGGUGGCAGAGAUGGGCUACAUUAUCUAUUACAGAACACACGAAUGAUAUAAUGAAACAUAUACCUAAAGGUGGACUUAACAGUAAGAUAAACAAGAAAUGCUAUCUUAAGCCAGCUCUGGAGCGCGCACACACCGC